RNAcentral lists this long non-coding RNA (1210 nucleotides) under Gopherus agassizii (Agassiz's desert tortoise). RNAcentral's name for it is "lncRNA (ENSGAGG00000006905.1)". Lineage: Eukaryota; Metazoa; Chordata; Testudines; Testudinidae. The record is from RNAcentral.
CUAUGUAUGGUCUCUGAUAUCAGACACAUGCAAAGAGUGCAGCAUCUUUGUCAUUAAUCUUUUCCAGACUUGGUUUUCCAUUGGAUUUGUGUGCUAUAAAAUUAGUUUGUUUAUGUGGCUAACAGAAGAAUUUUAUCUAACACAAUUAUUAGAUUUUAAUGCAUGUUUCCCAGUGGACAGUGAGAGCACCUUCUUGUUUUUGCAUGUUUUAAUUCAGUUGUUUAAAGUGCUUAUCAAAUUUAUGCUUACCUUUAAAACUACUGUACAGUUUAUACUAUGUAUCAGCACUGGGAGGAAUGAGUCUUAAUAUUUCAAAUGAAUGGAUACUUUGGGAGAAAAUUAGCCCUGGUACCAUAGUGACAGGUAGGUGUUUAUAGAUCUGGGGUGUGUAUUCUAUUCACAGUACUGUAAACUGAAGAAGACAGAGAUGAAAAGAUACAUUAUACUUUCGGUUUGUUUUAGUGGAAUUAGUUUCCUAACUGUACAAAAAAGUGUGAUGCCAAUUACAGUACAUUAAAUAAUCUUAGAUGUCUUAUUACAUGCAAAAUACCAAAACUAAAGCAAUAUAUGGAUUGUAUGCCUUUAAAAGUAACCUUGAGAUCCAAAUCUGAGAAAUAAAACUUAACUGGCUUUUGAAAAAUCCUUUGACACAUUUCAAGUUAAAAGCUCAGUGUAACUAAAUUAGCCAUUUUCAUUGUUUGCUUCAGAUAGAAAUAAAACCAAGAAAUUGAACAAUUGCUUUUAAAAUAUCUUAACAGGCUCAGGAGCGAUACCUAUAUAAAGUAAUUUUUCUUAAUGACAGGCGAAGCACUGCAAUGUUAUACUUGUGUAGGUUCUAGUGAUGAAGAAUGUAACAGACAAGGCACUCAGCAAUGUCCAGGGCUCUCAGAUGCAUGUGCAGUCAUCAGAGGUCAAGCAAGUGGUGUGAUGAAGUCCUGUUCAUUCAAAUCAUUCUGUGAACGGGCAAGAAGGGAUGGAUCCAAAGCACCUGGAGUGAGCGUUCAUUGUUGUUAUUCAAACAACUGUAAUGCCAAAAGCCGGGGUUCAAGAAACGCCAUCUCCAUAAGCCACUUAUCGCUCCUUGUCUCUGCAGCGUUGUGGCAUCUGCUGUUUAACUUGAAGUGAAAAACACAACAAAACUCCAGUAAACCAGUGCUACAAGGCUGCCUUUUUAGAAUAAAUGACUAACCAGUCCUAAGAAUGUUGCUCA